AACGAACGCUGGCGGCAGGCCUAACACAUGCAAGUCGAGCGCCCCGCAAGGGGAGCGGCGGACGGGUGAGUAACGCGUGGGAACGUACCCUUUGCUACGGAAUAGCCUCGGGAAACUGGGAGUAAUACCGUAUGUGCCCUUCGGGGGAAAGAUUUAUCGGCAAAGGAUCGGCCCGCGUUGGAUUAGGUAGUUGGUGGGGUAAUGGCCUACCAAGCCGACGAUCCAUAGCUGGUUUGAGAGGAUGAUCAGCCACACUGGGACUGAGACACGGCCCAGACUCCUACGGGAGGCAGCAGUGGGGAAUCUUAGACAAUGGGCGCAAGCCUGAUCUAGCCAUGCCGCGUGAGCGAUGAAGGCCUUAGGGUUGUAAAGCUCUUUCAGUUGGGGAAGAUAAUGACUGUACCCACAGAAGAAGCCCCGGCUAACUCCGUGCCAGCCAGCCGCGGUAAUAUCACGUGUA
Molecule: ribosomal RNA, 460 nt
Filed under: uncultured bacterium
Lineage: Bacteria
Description: bacterial SSU rRNA
Rfam family: Bacterial small subunit ribosomal RNA
Source: RNAcentral